AAUAGUAGGCAAGGUGCUUGGGGCAGGCCAGGUUCUGCUGGGGGCAGCAGCAUGGUCAGCACCCCCAGGGCAGGCUGGCCCAGCUCCACCAGUGCCACAGGGGGGCAGGGGCUGUGCCCAGCUGUACAAGCAGCUCAGAGCAGCACUGAGGGGAUCCAGAAGUCCCAGGUGUGCCCCAUCUUGGGUUUCUAGGGAUGCCACAGGCCCCAGCAGCAGACACAGCAGGGACCCAGCCAUGCAGCAGGAUGAGGGGAGGGCAGGUGAUCUUGGUCUGACUUGCUGCAAGCUGCCCUCUGCAAGACUGUGCCACCUGCCACAGCUGGCCCUUGGGACAUUCUCUGUUCCUGCUUUAAUGCUUGUGGCUGCCACAGUCCAUCAAGAGCCUUGCCAAGAGAAGUCCUGCACAGUCACGAGUACUGUGUGAGAAGAGGCUGCUUUUCCUCUACCUUUCCCACAGAAAGAGAUUUGUGUUGUGAAGUUGGGCACAAUAAGGUGGUAUGGAUUCAAGUUGCCUGUUCCAUUCUCCUGGGGGACCAGAGAACAGCAAUCAUAUGAGAAAUCCCACCUGAACCAUGGAUACAGCAGAAAAGAAAAACAAUCUUCUGCACCGCUGAAAACAAUAGCCUGUGACCAGUCUGUUGAGCCCUGGGAGCUCCUUGCACUCUGCCAUAUACAGUAUCUACAGUACCAGCCUCUCACCACGCUGCUCCUAGCUGGCAAAACCUGCUGGGCCAGGGCCUCAGGUUUGAAACAGCUGUCACAAAAGCAAAGGCUCUUCUUGCUGGGUCAGGGGCUGAAGAUAGCAGUGGCUGGAGACAGCACCUUCCCUGACUUGGCAAGGCUGUCUGCAAGGUGGCUCACCUGGCUGCAUGUGCACUCUCAUCUUUAAUUCCUUUGCCAGCACAGAAAAGGAUCCCUGAGUGCCAGGAAAGCUCGUGCUGUGUAGCUCAAGACCAAAUCUGGGCCAGCAGGAGAACCACCCUGCACCAGGGCAGCAGGUGUACUGAGCUAUUGGCUGUGCUUGCUGCAGCACCAGAGACCCUGGGGUAAAUUGUAUUUAAAGUAAAAACCCACUGGGCAUAUUGUGGCCAUAUUGUGCCUCAGGAAGAACUGCCUUGAGGGGAGGAGGAUAACAAGAGACAACCAAAGCCUGCUGGUUUGAGGACCAGCUGCUUCAGCAGAACCCCUGCAAAUUGCAUCUCACUUCUGUGUCUCCUGCUGUCCCUUACCCUGGUGUUUUCCUUGUGUCACUGACCAUCACCUGGCCAAGAGCUACUGUAGGUUUCAUUUGCAUGCUCAAAGCACAUUUAAAGAGAUGCUGGCAUUUUUCCAAACCGAGAAAAAGAUCUGCUAAUAUACUGGAUAAUAUGUUACACUGUAACAUAAUGUCAGAAUGAAAAAUUGUUCUGAGCAAUCAUUAAAAGCAAAAAUUAAACUAUAAAGUACAAUCAGCCCUUGAAUGUAAAAUCACAAUUUAAACUCAUACUUUAUGAAGACAUAGGCAUAAAGAGA
Molecule: long non-coding RNA, 1512 nt
Organism: Passer montanus (Eurasian tree sparrow)
Lineage: Eukaryota; Metazoa; Chordata; Aves; Passeriformes; Passeridae
Exons: 3
Source: RefSeq, a predicted model, not a curated record